Gossypium raimondii (Peruvian cotton) is the source of this 1583-nucleotide RNA transcript. RefSeq lists it as uncharacterized. The transcript has 4 exons. The record is from RefSeq and is a predicted model, not a curated record. NCBI's taxonomy places the organism in Eukaryota, Viridiplantae, Streptophyta, Magnoliopsida, Malvales, Malvaceae.
AAUAUCUUAUUCCAAAGUCCAAACAUCCCACUAAAGGAAACCCUCUCCUCUUCCAGUCAAGUAGGUUCCUUUUUUGUUUCACUGCCGCCCCCAACACAACCAGAGCCGCCCGCAGCUGCAAAAAUGGAACCACAGCUCCCUACUAUUAAAAACGUCUUCGUUAACGAAACUGAUGAUGACGACCCUCCAGCCCUUAGCUCUCAGGCACUAGCAGCCCUCAAAGAGUUCCUCGAAGAACAAAGGCAAUCUCUUGCUAACCAUGAAACAGCAGAAAAUGGGGAGGGAACACUUGAACCCGAGAGUGAAGUGGCUUUAGUAACAGAAGAUUGGAGGCUGAGCCAAUUCUGGUACGACCCAGAAACAGCCCGGACCCUUUCCCAAGAAGUUCUUUCUCUUUGCAGCCAUUCCAAUUAUAAAGUAGCUUGUAUUGCUUGCCCAACUCUCUAUGCCUAUCUUAAGAAAAUUGAUCCUAAUAUCUCUGUGCAACUUUUGGAGUAUGAUAAGCGUUUUGAGCAAUAUGGAAGUGAUUUUACAUUUUAUGAUUACAACCAACCCGAAGACCUGCCAUUGGAACUAAAGCAUACUUACCAAGUUGUAAUUGCCGAUCCUCCUUAUCUGGGGUUCAUUCCUUUUGCUGGUACAAGAGAAGCUCUAUUACGCUGUUACAUUUUCAUUUUUACCCUUAAUUGUGGGUCUUGUCUCAUAAGCAAAACCUUCUGCUUGCAACCAAUCUUGCUGUAACCACUAAGGGAAGAACCUAUUCUUCUUGUCUAUUUAACGCUUUUUAAACUAGUUUUUUCAAGCAAAUGUUUUGACAUUCUGUUUCUUUGAAUUGAUUCCAGGUUUUUGAAUAUGAGGAUGAACUUGCUUGUUUAUCUUGAUUACAGAGUAUAAAACCCACUUGCCUAUGCUUAUUUAUCUUGUGGCCAUUAAUAUGAGAUUUUCUUUCUGAUGAAAACGAAAUCAAAGACUUUUAAUUAGUAAAUACCAGAGAUUCUCUACCAAUUUACCUUGAUAUAAAGUUCCUCCUGUGAUACGUUUUUAAGUCUGGGAAAUCUGUAAUCCUACUGAUCUGCUUUACAGAGCUAUUUUAAAUAUAUUACCGUCGGAGAAUGUGAAGAUUUUGACAUAUUUCAAUCACAAGAUGGUAGGUAAACCACUAUUUUGGUCUCAUAUGGAACAUUUAGGGUUAGAGCAUCAGUUUCUAUUUUUCUCAUAAUCUCGAUUGAGCAGAUAUUUUAUAUGGGCACCUGUUUCUUAACUUUGCCAUGGCUGUACUGGUUUUCACUUGAGUUCAUGUUUGGAGGAAAUUUUUGACAGUACAUUACAUAUGUUGUGCAUGGUUGCAGAGCAAGGAGUGUUUAGAGAAAGUUACUCAAACAAUAUCUUUUCUUGCUCAACCACGAGAAUCUCACUUGCUUUUGCUUACGGGAGAGGUGCAAAGGCAUAGGGCUGCAGAGCUUUUGGGUUUGCGUGCAUGCAAUUUUUGGCCACGACACUCAAGCAAACUUGGAAAUGAGUUUCGGGUGUUCACAAACUAUGACCCUGGGGAGAGAUUAGGAGGAUGGGAGCAAGAACAAUAG